Molecule: ribosomal RNA, 966 nt
Filed under: uncultured Ascomycota
Lineage: Eukaryota; Fungi; Ascomycota
Description: eukaryotic LSU rRNA
Rfam family: Eukaryotic large subunit ribosomal RNA
Source: RNAcentral
GACUUGACCUCGGAUCAGGUAGGGAUACCCGCUGAACUUAAGCAUAUCAAUAAGCGGAGGAAAAGAAACCAACAGGGAUUGCCCUAGUAACGGCGAGUGAAGCGGCAAUAGCUCAAAUUUGAAAUCUGGCUCCUUUUAGGGGUCCGAGUUGUAAUUUGCAGAGGGUGCUUUGGCGUUGGUAGCGGUCUAAGUUCCUUGGAACAGGACAUCGUAGAGGGUGAGAAUCCCGUUUGUGGUCGCAUGCCUUCGCCGUGUAAAGCCCCUUCGACGAGCCGAGUUGUUUGGGAAUGCAGCUCUAAAUGGGAGGUAAAUUUCUUCUAAAGCUAAAUACUGGCCAGAGACCGAUAGCGCACAAGUAGAGUGAUCGAAAGAUGAAAAGCACUUUGGAAAGAGAGUCAAACAGCACGUGAAAUUGUUGAAAGGGAAGCGCUUGCAGCCAGACUUGCCCGUAGUUGCUCACCUAGGCUUUUGCCUGGGGCAUUCUUCUGCGGGCAGGCCAGCAUCAGUUUGGGCGGUCGGAUAAAGGUCUCUGUCAUGUAGCUUCCUUCGGGAAGAACUUAUAGGGGAGACGAAAUGCGACCGGCCCGGACUGAGGUCCGCGCUUCUGCUAGGAUGCUGACGUAAUGGCUGUAAGCGGCCCGUCUUGAAACACGGACCAAGGAGUCUAACAUCUAUGCGAGUGUUUGGGUGUCAAGCCCGAGCGCGUAAUGAAAGUGAACGGAGGUGGGAACCCUUUGGGUGCACCAUCGACCGAUCCUGAUGUCUUCGGAUGGAUUUGAGUAAGAGCAUAGCUGUUGGGACCCGAAAGAUGGUGAACUAUGCUUGAAUAGGGUGAAGCCAGAGGAAACUCUGGUGGAGGCUCGCAGCGGUUCUGACGUGCAAAUCGAUCGUCAAAUUUGGGCAUAGGGGCGAAAGACUAAUCGAACUAUCUAGUAGCUGGUUCCUGCCGAAAUUUUCCCUCAGGAU